GAUGAACGCUGACAGAAUGCUUAACACAUGCAAGUCUACUUGAACUUCGGUUUGGGUGGCGGACGGGUGAGUAACGCGUAAAGAACUUGCCUCACAGAUAGGGACAACAUUUGGAAACGAAUGCUAAUACCUGAUAUUAUGAUUUUAGGCAUCCUAGAAUUAUGAAAGCUAUAUGCACUGUGAGAGAGCUUUGCGUCCCAUUAGCUAGUUGGAGAGGUAACGGCUCACCAAGGCGAUGAUGGGUAGCCGGCCUGAGAGGGUGAUCGGCCACAAGGGGACUGAGACACGGCCCUUACUCCUACGGGAGGCAGCAGUGGGGAAUAUUGGACAAUGGACCAAGAGUCUGAUCCAGCAAUUCUGUGUGCACGAUGAAGUUUUUCGGAAUGUAAAGUGCUUUCAGUUGGGAAGAAAAAAAUGACGGUACCAACAGAAGAAGAGACGGCUAAAUACGUG
Molecule: ribosomal RNA, 453 nt
Filed under: uncultured bacterium
Lineage: Bacteria
Description: partial 16S ribosomal RNA
Rfam family: Bacterial small subunit ribosomal RNA
Source: RNAcentral